Non-coding RNA from Tetranychus urticae (two-spotted spider mite), 4239 nucleotides. The record is from RefSeq and is a predicted model, not a curated record. Lineage: Eukaryota; Metazoa; Arthropoda; Arachnida; Trombidiformes; Tetranychidae.
AAUUUAAAGCGUAAUAAAUCCCAAAUUACUAAGGCUUUAAUGCCAUCUGUAGGGAGAAAAGACAAUUGUGAAAGGUUACCCAAGUUGCAUAAGACAAUGAAAAAGUAUUAAUUUUUAGUUCUCAGCUUUUUAUAUUUUUAGCUUUGGUUAUUCAGUUGAAUCAGUCAGGAUUAGCUAUUGAAUUAACAACAAUUGGCGACAUUUUUGGUAACAAAUGAUGGGUAAACGAUUAGUGUUUAAAAAGAGUCAUUCAAAUCGAGUCUCAUUCACUGGCGUUGGUUAUCAAAAUUAUCCCCUUAAGGGAAAGAGAGAGAGAGAAAGAAAAGGUAGCCAUUUUCUUUCUUUUUGAUCUUCCAUCCCGGAGAAAAGCGUUACUAUGGACAAAGCGAAAUGUGAUAUUUGGUGGUGAAAAAAACGAUAUCAAAUAAGGAGCCAUAUCAUAAUCAACAGCUUCAUUUUUGAUGAUGACGACUAUAAUAAAGUAAAUGCUAUGGUUUAACAAUCGCUUUAUGAAGUACUUACCUCAAACCAUUUGUCAACAUUGUUACUCUUUUUUUCACACUUAUUCACACUGCCAGUCCCACUUUUAUAAAUGUUUUCAUGAUUAUGCUUAACCGGUCAAACUAAUUACUCGACACAUAAAACCUUUUGACCAAUAGCAGCUCACAAGUUGACUGAAAAGCUGUCCAUUUGUUUUUAAAAUGGCUUCAUUUGUCGAUAAACUGUUGACUGUUUUCAUACUUUGAAUUUUGAUUUUCUGCUUCUUUCCUCCUUGACAUUUAAUAGGUUUCGCAUAAUAAUGUUUUUAAGUGUUUAGAGUUAACUCAACUAUUUAUUGAGUCUCUCCAUCUUUUGAUGAAGAUAAUGUUGAUGAAGAAAAAAGCUAAAAAUCAAGUCCAUUAGUCGAUGAUAGUGAUGAUCUAUUAAAGUGAUAGGAGGAAAGGAAGAAGUAUAUUGUUAAGGUAGUAAAAAAGUUGAUUGAUAGAUAGAUUUGGUUGAUUAAUAUCCAUUGAUGGAGAAGAGGAUAUAUCUCCCCAUGGAAACACCUAAUUGAAGGAUCAAAUAACAAUCAAGCUUUAAGGUACAGAUUAAGAGGCAGGGAGUUAACAAGGGGAGUUGAUAAGAGCGGAGGGAAGCCAAUAACACGGUUUCAGUGUUUGUGUAUAAAAUGAAAUGGACUUAAAGAGAUGUGAACGUCAAUAUGUUGAUUGUCUGGAUGAGAGUGAGAGAAGGACAUGGAUUUAAAUCAAGAGAUCAACAAGAAAGAGACAAAUUGUCAAUUUGGAAUCAACAUGGUGACAAGAGGGCUCAUUAUGACCUCUUCUCAGUCUCUCUCUUCAUCUUCCUCUUUUCCUCCUAACCUCUCCUCUUUCCUACUCAUUCACUCCUUUCAACCUACAGAGGCAGCGGAAAGUUUGUUAUUCAUGGUUAAAACUAAAAGUCGAAAGGCAGUUGCUUCGCCAUCCUUUUCAUGUGAAUAUCAUGUGAAAAUAUAUCAAUGAUGGCGAUUCAAUUCACGCCUUUCGUACUUCAACUGUCUCAAUUUUUGACAAAAUUAUCAUCACAUCUUUGACCAAUAUUUAUGUUUACUAAACUGUUGGGCAAGAUAUAAAGAUGAAGGUGAUGAUGAUGAUAAAGCAAUCCAUUUUUUUGCUGAUUUCAUUUUUCCUCCCCCUUAUCUUCUGUCAUCACUCCACCCACUGUCAAAUACAUCAAUAAAAUGUAUUAAAGGUGAUUGGGAAAAGGAAAUGGGAAUCAGAUAGCUUCUUAUAACCAAAAUAUACAUGCAUUAAUGUGUACAUUGAUAACAAUAAUGUAUACAAGGGUAUACCUCAAGGAGUAGAAUCAGAAGAAGAGAGAGAGAAGAUGAAAAUGAUGUGAUGAUGAAAGGCGAACAAAUAGAGUCUCAUUCGCUAAGUCACUGUGAAAUAGACUUGGCGAAUGAAGGGAAAAAUAGAGAUUUGUAACAAAGAGAAGCUUAAUUUUAAAUAUGGUAAUAUAAUAAGGCGAAGGAGGCGUUUAAGGGAAUCACGCUCUUGUCAAAUCUUUCCCAUUCUUGAAUGGAUGCAAAAAGAGAGGAAAAAAUGAACCAAGUAAAGAGUCACCAGAAAAGGUCAGAAAAAGGCCGUAGGUUGAUGCAGGUUUGCCGAGGAUGAUAUACUUGAUGGUGAAGAUGCUGAUGGCAAUGGCGACAGUGAUGGUAGUUGGAAAAAAAAGGACGGAAAAUGUGAUGUCGCCAAGUUAUUGUGUUGGUGUGAAGAGAGUCGAGAUGAACACAAAACACGGACAUGAUUGGCCGAGAAGGAGAGGAAGAGAUGGCAAGCCGGGACAAUGAGGCAAAAUAAAAGUGAACAUAUUGGGAGUGAGCUUUUCUUUUGGAGUGCGAACGACAAUUGAUUUAUUCAUUUUUUUUUAUUCAUGUAACAAGACUUCAAAUUGUCAGAUUAAAGCAGCCAAAAGAUUUUGCCCUUUUGUCAUCGUAAAUGGUUUGAAAAUGGCACGAAAUGUUUAUCAUCACCGUCACCAUCGAUAUCAAUUUUGUCCCAAUCUCACUGUUGCAAUAUUUAUUUGGCUCCAACCAACAAUAGCGCAAAACGAUUACUUUAUUGUUCUCACUAUUAUGAUUAACCAAAUAAAAACUUGAUCCUUCAAUAGGCAGACACACACACACAUCCAUUGGCCUGAAUGAUGAUAUUUUGACUGAUUUAACCUCAAACUGACUUAUAACAAUGAUUGAUUUACUAACUAUCAAACUCACCUUUUCUUAAAACCCAUUGUAAAUCAUACAAACGCUAAAAAGAGUAAUCAUUAACUAAUCAACAUAACAAUCAAUGGAUUAACAACGUAUAUUGAAAGGCACAUAUUCAUUGGAAAAGAAGAAGAAGGAAAAAGAAGAAGGAAAAGAUGAAAAUUGAAAUCCAUUUUGCUGUCCGUCUUUGGAUGGUUACUUGGUAUUCCUAUUGUCACAAUAAUCCUUAUAAUUGUCAUCACAAAUUGUUUUCAAUGGUAUAAUGAUUCAGUUGAAUACAAAUUUGUUUUCUUCUUCUGAAGACUGCGUAUAAAGGCGUGCUAUCCAGUGCUCCACCAGGUUGUAAGGCAUUCGUCAAAAUACUUUCUGUCAAGUAUACUUAAACCUCUUAUCAACGGAAAUGAUAAUUUGACCAACUUAUCCCGAAGAUGCAGAUGAAGAUAAAGAUGAUGAUGACUGUUGGCAAUGAACAAACUUACCCAUUGCUGUUGCCCUUUGCUUCCAAUAGCAUAAACGUUCACUAAUACAUUCACGGGAAUCGAGCUGCAAACAUUUUUUAAUAAGUUGACACAGAUAUUCAAUCAUUGGAGUUAUUACUUGUUAAUCUAAUGGUACAACACUUUUGGUUCACAGGGCAAUAUCAUCAUUUGUGUGUCCAUUUUCAGCCGCUGUAACGGUUUAUGGUUAAUGUAUGGCUCAAUGGUUCCUUACCUGUGUGAAAAUUUUCAGGAUAAUUACAGACUGACAUCCAGUGGAAAAGGGAUGAGAUGAAGAUGAUUAUCCAACAGCUUCUUGUUUUUACCUUCAUACCGUCCAGGGUCUUUUCAUCCUAGCCAUUGUUAAAUAAUAAUAUUAUCAUGAUAUUCAAAAAUAUAAUAUUAUUUUGGCCUCUUCAAAAGCGCAUUAUCAAGAGGCGAUAUUAUCAUAAACAUUCAAUGGGAACUUAUGUUAAUGUUGGACCAAUUUUUUGAUUUCAACCUCAAUCUUCUUCCAAUACUUACUGAUUGCAAAGACAAAAUGUUGCACUAACAGUUAACAGAUAUGUUUGUAUGGCGAUGAGAUGGUCUGUUAUGCUUUAGUAAUAAUUGUAAUAUGUUUAACGGAUCGGUGACCUGUUAACCUAUGGGAACAAAGUCAUUUGGUUUUAAGGUCAAUGGAAGAGUUUCACACCAGUUUCAUUACUCAGUUAAUAACCAUCUUUAACUUUUCCAAUCAACCUAUUAAUUAUGAUAAAAGUAGCGGUAAUAGUCAUUUAGAUUUGAUUAUUUCCAAACAAAUUGACUAGAGAAGCUACUUUCGCUUGAUGUUUUUGUGGAUUACCUUUUGUUGCCAUACUUGUUGACGUGACUUGAUACAAAAGAGGAGAGAAGAUCAAUUAAUAACAAAAGGAUAAUGAUGGCCAGGAUUAAAUAUUUGAUUUAUCCAUUUGAUGAUGAGAAAACUAGAGAUGCAGUUUGAUUAGGAAUAAAAGCUGUUUUAUUAUGGAUCAA